This is a small nuclear RNA of Eublepharis macularius, 191 nucleotides long. RefSeq annotates it as U2 spliceosomal RNA. The record is from RefSeq and is a predicted model, not a curated record. The transcript has a single exon. Lineage: Eukaryota; Metazoa; Chordata; Lepidosauria; Squamata; Eublepharidae.
AUCGCUUCUCGGCCUUUUGGCUAAGAUCAAGUGUAGUAUCUGUUCUUAUCAGUUUAAUAUCUGAUAUGCUCUCUAUUUGAGAGCUACGUAUUAAACGGAUUUUUGGGAAUGGGAGGUGCUCUAGGGGCUUGCUCCUUGCCCUCCAUGCAUCGGUCCGGUAUUGCAGUGCCUCCGGAAGCGGUGCCCUGCCC